UACGUAGGGGGCAAGCGUUGUCCGGAAUCAUUGGGCGUAAAGCGCGCGUAGGCGGCUCGGUAAGUCCGUUGUGAAAGUCAAAGGCUCAACCUUUGAAUGCCGAUGGAUACUGUCGAGCUAGAGUCCGGAAGAGGCGAGUGGAAUUCCUGGUGUAGCGGUGGAAUGCGCAGAUAUCAGGAGGAACACCAAUAGCGAAGGCAGCUCGCUGGGACGGUACUGACGCUAAGGCGCGAAAGCGUGAGGAGCGAACAGG
Molecule: ribosomal RNA, 253 nt
Filed under: uncultured bacterium
Lineage: Bacteria
Description: partial 16S ribosomal RNA
Rfam family: Bacterial small subunit ribosomal RNA
Source: RNAcentral